This 251-nucleotide ribosomal RNA is filed under the name uncultured bacterium. RNAcentral describes it as "partial 16S ribosomal RNA". It matches the Rfam family "Bacterial small subunit ribosomal RNA", at positions 524 to 776 of the family's 1533-position model. The record is from RNAcentral.
UACGUAGGGUGCGAGCGUUGUCCGGAAUUAUUGGGCGUAAAGAGCUUGUAGGCGGUCUGUCGCGUCUGCUGUGAAAAUCCGGGGCUCAACCCCGGACUUGCAGUGGGUACGGGCAGACUAGAGUGUGGUAGGGGAGACUGGAAUUCCUGGUGUAGCGGUGAAAUGCGCAUAUCAGGAGGAACACCGAUGGCGAAGGCAGGUCUCUGGGCCACUACUGACGCUGAGAAGCGAAAGCAUGGGGAGCGAACAGG